GCUGCUACUGUUGAGUGCUGCUGCUGCUGCCGAGAGCUACUGCUGCUACUGCUGCUGCUGUCAAGUGCAGAAGAGAAACCGUAGGGACUGUUUUGUAACAACUGUAGGGACUGUUUUAUAACAGCUGUAGGGACUGUUUUGUAAAAAUAGCAAAUUCUGCUUUAUGGGGAGAUUUAGUUGCAAUUGGCUGAUCUUAUCUAAACUCCAGCACACCCCCAGCUGCAUACGUAUGCAGGGCAACCUCCUCUCCAUCUCUUUUCAUUUUCUUUCUUAUUCUCUCUCUCUCUCUCUAAACCGUAUGUGGUAGGAUUUGAGGGAGAGUGGUGGAGUUGAUGUUGGAGCUGUGAGAAGGUUUUGGAGCUGGGUUAUUAUGGUGGAGAGGGAACCCGAGGUGAGUUGGUGAUAU
RNAcentral lists this long non-coding RNA (406 nucleotides) under Ananas comosus (pineapple). RNAcentral describes it as "long non-coding RNA (ACOM_LNC011820)". The record is from RNAcentral. Lineage: Eukaryota; Viridiplantae; Streptophyta; Magnoliopsida; Poales; Bromeliaceae.